UAAGUGAGGCACUGGGCUUUGGGAAGGAGGUGUGAGGGCUCUGACUGGGUCCCAGAAUCCUCCCUCCUCCUUCCCCAGGCAUAGUUAGCGCUUUCCCAGCUUUGGGAAGAAGGUGGGAGUUCUAGGACCCUGUCAGGGCCUCAUGCCUCCUUCCCAAAGCCUUGCACCUUUCUUAU
Podarcis lilfordi (Lilford's wall lizard) is the source of this 176-nucleotide non-coding RNA. Lineage: Eukaryota; Metazoa; Chordata; Lepidosauria; Squamata; Lacertidae. The record is from the annotation of a GenBank genome assembly.